RNAcentral lists this long non-coding RNA (317 nucleotides) under Ananas comosus (pineapple). Its description in RNAcentral is "long non-coding RNA (ACOM_LNC033929)". Lineage: Eukaryota; Viridiplantae; Streptophyta; Magnoliopsida; Poales; Bromeliaceae. The record is from RNAcentral.
GGUUUUGUAAUAUUGAACUUUAGGGGGGGAGGUUUUGUAAUAUUGAACUUUAGGGGGGGAGGUGAGUUUAAUAUAUAUCUUAUAUAAUAUUGGGUUAUUGCUGGAUUGUUAGUGGUUACUGUAAUUCUAAAAAUUCAAGUGGUUAUAUAGAAACAAUUCACUUAAACCGUGUAGAUAUAGCAUCUAUGCAUCUCGAUUAUGACUUGAUCCAAUUUUAUUUUUGUUGUGUAGAUAGCAUAUUGGCCUAUUUACCAAUAGAUAUGAACUGUCGAAUAAACACUUAAUCUUAAUUACUUUGAAUUCAGAUAAAGUACUAU